Molecule: long non-coding RNA, 1026 nt
Filed under: Trifolium pratense (red clover)
Lineage: Eukaryota; Viridiplantae; Streptophyta; Magnoliopsida; Fabales; Fabaceae
Description: long non-coding RNA (TPRA_LNC006496)
Source: RNAcentral
GUGGCUAAAAUUGAUAGGGUUUUACCCUCUGAAUUCUCAAUCUUUUUGAAUGAAAAGAACAAAAUUUUAUUAUCUUUGUUCUUUUCUCAUUUAGUUUCGGACAUUGUUUUUGUUUAUUAUUUUCAUGAAUAUAAAUACUUUUUGUAUUACUAAAAAACAUUUGCAGUAUGUUUGUUUUUUGGGUUUGUUUUGUAUAUGCAAGCUGAUUAGUUUUAUGUUGCAAAAAGCUUGAGUCUAGUUUCUCAGUCAAUGAUAUAUCAUCAACUUUGGUUUGUGUUUUGCAUACAUUUCAAAUUUGUAUAUAUUUUCACAAUUCACCCCUUUGAUUAACUUUCAUGGUAAAAUAUUUAUCAAUUAUUCAGUUCUAAAAACUCCCCAUUUAUUCUUUUAGUUAGUAAGUUAACAUUCUCCUAAAAUUUUUUAGUGGACGGUGUUAAAUGCAAUAUUGAUUCUCAUUGUAUUCUACAAAGAUUGAUUGCAAUAUAUUGUUUUAGCAAGUGUUAAGAAACACCGGACUUUCUUUGACCAAAUGCACUAUUCAUAUAAAUGUAAAUAUUGUCAUAGUAUAAGUUUUUGUGGUUCACACUGGUUCAAGCGAUUGUUCUGUUCAAUUUCACUGACUAGCUCGGAAUUGGUUGUCCUUCCAAACUGAUGUUUUGCCCGAUUCACAGCUGAACUGAUCAAACCGGCCAAUUCAAUCCAGUUCUUACAACAUUGGGUGUCAUAUCUUUUACAUAUGAUAACCAUAUUCAUUAGUGUUAUGGAGAUUUCUUGAUACAUAUGCUAAAAUACUUCAAGCUAACAAGGUACAAUAAAAAAUUGAUUAUCAAUGCACUGGACAAAAUAAUUCAAAAUGUACUGUAAUACCCAUUGUGAUGUACAAUGUUUGAUUUUGCAUUGUAUAAAGACGCAUAACAAAAUUUUAAAUAUGUAAAAAUAUUUUAUUUAUUAUUUCAGUAAAAAUAACAAUUAUUGAAACAAUUAAAAUUAUAAAAACUACAUAUAAAAUUUGUAAUAAUCUAAGAG